This 403-nucleotide unclassified non-coding RNA is filed under the name soil metagenome. Its description in RNAcentral is "partial contains 5.8S ribosomal RNA, internal transcribed spacer 2, and large subunit ribosomal RNA". The stretch from base 1 to 121 matches the Rfam family "5.8S ribosomal RNA", at positions 35 to 154 of the family's 154-position model. The record is from RNAcentral.
GAUGAAGAACGCAGCGAAAUGCGAUAAGUAAUGUGAAUUGCAGAAUUCAGUGAAUCAUCGAAUCUUUGAACGCACCUUGCGCCCUUUGGCUAUUCCGAAGGGCAUGCCUGUUUGAGUAUCAUGAACACCUCAACUCUCAUGGUUUGCCAUGAUGAGCUUGGACUUUGGGGGUCUUGCCGGCCUAUGGGUCGGCUCCUCUCAAAUUAAUCAGCUUGCCAGUGUUUGGUGGCAUCACAGGUGUGAUAACUAUCUACGCUUGUGGUUUUCCAUCAGGUAACCUUCAGUGAUGGAGGUUCGCUGGGGCUCAUAAAUGUCUCUCCUCAGUGAGGACAGCUUUUUUGAACGUUUGAUCUCAAAUCAGGUAGGACUACCCGCUGAACUUAAGCAUAUCAUAAGCGGAGGA